Molecule: long non-coding RNA, 4941 nt
Filed under: Capsicum annuum
Lineage: Eukaryota; Viridiplantae; Streptophyta; Magnoliopsida; Solanales; Solanaceae
Description: long non-coding RNA (CANN_LNC003601)
Source: RNAcentral
AAAAAUAUCUCUAUAUACAUCUAGAAGGGUCCAUAUAUUUGUAUAUACAAAAAUAGAAAAAAGAAAAGAAUUAUAUUGUGCUUAGGCCCGAGUCGAACUUCUUCUUGGGCUUAUUAGUUGGGCCAAUGUCAAUACCCCCAUCCCCUCAAGCUAGAGGGUGUAAGCACGCCCAGCUUGCGUAAAGAAGAACUAUGGAGAGGUCCGGAGAGAGGCUUAGUCAGGAUAUCAGCCAGCUGAUCAGCAGAGGAGCAGAGGAGACAUGAUGCAAGGAAAUAACACCAAAGUGAAGCAGUCAUGAACAUAAUGGCAAUCAGUCUUAAUAUGUUUAGUGCGUUUAUGAAACACCGAAUUGCGAGCAUAUGUAAAGCAGCUAAACUGUCACAGAAAACAGGAACAGGAGAAGAAACAGAUAAUCCAAAAUCAGUAAAAAUACGAAUGAGCCAAACAACCUCAGCCACAACUUUCCGUAAAAUCAGUAAAAAUACGAAUGAGCCAAACAACCUCAGCCACAACUUUCCGUAAAGCUCUGUAUUCAGCCUCAACAGAAGAUAAAACAAUGGUGGGUUGUUUCUUGCUUUUUCGGGAAAUAGGGAAGCCACAAAAGAAAAUGUAAAAACCAGUCACAGAUCAUCUGGAUAAAGUGCAAGCAGCCCAAUCAGAAUCAACAUAAGCAAUAAGGCCCAUAGAAGAUAUAACAGGCAAGAAAAUGCCUUCAUCAGGCACAAAACUCAAAUAUUUUAAGACAUGAAGGCCAACCAACAUGUGUGGAUUGCAUGGAGGAUUAACAAAUUGACUGAGAUGAUGAACAACAAAUGAAAUAUCAGGUCUUGUAGGUUGAAGAAAAUUGAGCUUUCCAACAAGACGGCGACAAAGGGAAGGAUCAGGUAAAGGAACAGCCAUGUCAGAAGUUAAUUUGACAGUAGGAUCUAAAGGUGAAAACGCAGAAGUGAACUGAGAACACAGAAAUUCCUCCAACAAGUCAGAAGUAUACUUCUGUUGGGUAAUAAGAUACCCAGAGUCAUGUGUAAUAACCUCAAUCCCUAAAAAGUAAUGAACUAAACCCAAAUCAUUAAUCUUGAAUUGUUGAUCAAGAAAAGAUUUGAGGCUGCUCAUCUCAGAAAUACCAGAUCUAGCAAGAAGGAUAUCAUCCACAUAAACCACAAGAACCACCAGAGAUGUAGAAGUACGUUUAGUAAAUAAAGAAUAGUCAUUUUUUCUAGAAAUGUAGCCUCUAGAUAACAGAGCCUCAGACAAUUUAGAAAACCAUUGCGUGGAAGGUUGUUUGAGGCGAUAUAAGGAUUUCUUGAGUUUACAAACCAAAGGAGCCUUACUGGAAGAAGCAGCAGAGACCUGAAGGCUAAGAGGUAUUUUCAUAUAAACAUCCUCAUGAAGAAAAGCAUUAUUGACAUCUAACUGGAAAGCAUUCCACUUAUUCUUAGUAGCAAGUGACAGGAGACACUUGACAGUGGUUAGUUUUACAACAGGUUAAAAAGUUUCAUAGUAGUAGAUGCCCUCUUUUCGGGUAUCACCUCUGAUAACCAACCUAGCCUUGUACCUCUCAAUGGACCCAUCGGAUCUCUAUUUUAUCUUAUAAACCCAUUUGUAGGAAAUGGCUUUCUUAUGAAAAGGAAGAGGGACAAUCUCCCAAGUAUGGUUUGCCUCAAGAGCCUUGAAUUCUUGUUGCAUAGCCUCUUGCCAGGCAGAGUGAGAAAUAGCCUGCUGGUAAAACUGAGGUUCAUGCAAGUGCAGGUCAGAAACUAAAACCUUGGAAUUUACACUAGGAGGAGGAAAAUAUGGUUAAGCAGAAGAACAGAUAUAAUCAGUAAGGUGAGAAGGAGGAUGGACUGAUCUAGCGCUUCUUCUAAGAGGGACAAUAGCUGGAGGAGGAGAAACAUGAGUAGAAGAGGGAAACUGAAUAGGAACUGAAGUGAUUUCUUCAGUGUCAACAAAAAAUGGAGGAGGUGGAAAAGUGGAAGAAACAAGAUGAUCAGAAAAUGGAAAUAUGUGUUCAUGGAAAAUGACACUUCUAGAAUGAAAAAUAGAUGAGUUAGAUCGGUUGAGCAGCUUAUAUCCCUUCUUGCCACAAAGAUAACUAAUAAAUAAACUGGGAAUGGAUCUUGGAUGGAAUUUUUCUUUAGGGUGGAUAGUAGAAACAACAUAACAUAAGCAACCAAAGCUCUUUAAAUGCUCAUAAGAAGGAGAAGAACCAUGCAAUUUCUCAAAAGUAGACAAAUUGUUUAGAAUGACAGAGGGAAAUCUAUUAAUAAGGUAAGUGGCAGUUAGAACACAUUCACCCCAGUAUUUUAAAGAAAGAUGGGAUUGAAAUAAUAAGGCCAUAGAAACCUCAAAAAGAUGCUUGUGUUUUCUCUCAACAACCCCAUUUUGUUGAGAAGUGUGAGGGAUAGUGGUUUGGUGAAGAAUUCCAUUAGCAGAAAAAAAUUUGUAGAUCAGUACUGGUACCCAAUUCAAAAGCAUUGUCAGACCUAAAAGUGUGAACAUUAGACUGAAAAUGAACUCUAACCAUAUUUACAAAAGCUUUAAGAACAAAACUGGCACUACUUUUAGGAUGCAAAAGGUGUGUCCAGGUAGUCCUUGUAAAGUCACCCACUAGGGUUAAGAAAUACCUAAAACCAUUGUAUGUUUGUGUGUGGUAAGGCCCCCAAACAUCAAUGUGAACUAACUCAAAAGGAGAAAUGGAAUGAAUAUUACUGGAAGAAAAAGGAAGUCAAUGUUGCCUAGCCUUAGGACAGACAUCACAUAAGAAGGAUUGGGAAGAAGAAAUGAGACCAAAAAUAGAUAGAAUAGAUCUCAUUUUACUAUAGGGAAGGUGACCCAAUCUUUGAUUCCAAAACAAAUCAGUAUUAUUAAUAUCAGAAGAAACUUUACAGAUAGCAAGGAAAAGAUUAACAACAGAAGUAAAAGAGAAACCAGGUACUGAAAGACAUGAAGAAUUAGUAUUAAAAUAAUAUAAACCAUUUGCUACUCUACCAAUUUCCAACUGCAUCUUCAGAGAAUGGCCCUGUAAAGUGCAGGUAGAAAUAGUAAAAGUAGCACUAUAGUUGAAUUAAGUAAGAAGUUUGUGAAGGAAAAUAAGAUUGAACUAAAAAGAAGGAACUAAUAAAACAUUAUGUAAAACCAUAUCAUGUCUGACAUGUAAUGAUCCAGUAGAGACAACUUUAACUUUAUAGCCAUUAGGUAAGCUGAUUAAAAGAGGAGUGGCUAAAGGACUGAUGUUGUGUAAGGGAUGUUUGUGGCGGUGUCUUGUGAUUAGUUGCACUAGAAUCGAGUGUCCAAGAAUCUGUUCCUAAGGAAGAUACUGCACAAGUAUGAAACACAGCAGAGUUAACAAGAGGGUGAUUCAACACACCUGAAAAAUGUGCAAAUCCUGUUUCCUCAGGAAUAGGAACCUCAGGAUUACAUGGCAAAGAAUGAGAAGUAGAAGAUUGAUGCACAUGCUUAAGAUUUUGAUAAUGUUGAAACUGCUCUUUAGUCAGUUUACUCAUGAUCAUCAAGUCUCAAAGAAGAGAUCCCAGCAUCAGAAGUUGGAUUAUCAAAAAGCACACAGGAUGCAGAUUUGUUUUCUUUAGAAGAUUUAGGGUCAGGAGUAUAACCAAGGAGUUUAUAGUAUCUGUCAAUUAGAUGACCAGAUUUCUUACAAUAUCUGCAGAACAAUCCAGAAAUAGGGAUGGAAGAAGAGGGAAACCUCUUAGACUCAGACUGAGGAGAAUUGUAAUUUCUGUAUGCAAUAGUUGGGGGAUGGGUAGGAAAAUUCCUUUUAUGAUCAAAUUGGACAUUUUGAGUAAAAUUUCUCCCAUAAGAAGGAUUCUGAGUAUAAGCAUUGAAAGAGGCUGAGUCAUUUGAAAAACCAGGAAUAGGAGCAGAAACCUCUUUUUGCUUUUCAACAUGCUGGAGCAUGGAAUAAUAACUACUCAGAGAAUGGAGAGUGGGUAACAUCAAAAUGUUACUUUUGCAUACAGAUUAAUCAUCAUUAAGUCCACUUAGAAACUAAAAUAACUUUUGUUGUUCUAGGAAUUUCCCAAAAGCUCCACACGUGCAUACUGAACCAUAUAAGAAGUGUGAAGUUCAUCCCAAAGAUUGCGUAGUCUGGUGAAAUAAGCAGUAAUACUGGAUGAAACUUGGGAAGUAGAGUUGAUUUACUUUUGGAGCUGAAUGUACUUGGUUCCAUUCGAUUGACCAAACUGCUCAUUUAUGUCUAGCCAUAUGUCCUUAGCCGCGUCAAAACACUUGACACUGAUGGCUAAGUCGGUGGAUAGGGAACAGUACCAGUUAUGAGCCCUAAUUUGUUUUUAGCUGAGAGUGCAGUAAUCAUAUUCUUUCUCUAACCCACAAACCCAUUAUCAUUGAAGGAGGUGAAACCAACCGAGUGUCUGGGAUAUCGGAAGGAUAUAUGUAGAAGGGAUGAGUUGGUGAAACGAAAAACUCGUCAAAACCUUCUACAGUACUCUAAUUUUCAGUAGACAUUGAAACUAGCACCAAAAUCUCAAAUGAUAUGCUUACAGAUAUAAUAACAUACAAAACAUAAAAAUUUUACCCCAAAAAAUUGAUUUUCACAGCUUGUGAACACAGAUGUAUAGACGCACAAAUAUACCCUAAUCAAAUCAGGAUAAAAUAGAGAUUACCACCCUUCUUCGUAACCUGAAGAAGUAAGGUCUUAAAAAAAUAAAAUCUGCGUCAAAUUGAAGCAAAACUCAGUAAGAUCUCUUAAGAUCCAAAAAUCAAAUAGCCAAAACCCAUCGAGGGUAAUAUCGGAGGAUAGAGGAAGACGAGGGGAGUCGAAAUCCCUUCUCCGAUACCAUGUUAGAUUUUCAAAUCUACAGAUCACAAUCAAAAUUCAACAUACAAAACCCUCGUAUUUCGAAAGAUCAAGAGAAACUGAAGAGUUUAUUUUGAUAUGGAAAAAUAUCUCUGUAUACAUCUAAA